Molecule: unclassified non-coding RNA, 277 nt
Filed under: uncultured fungus
Lineage: Eukaryota; Fungi
Description: sequence contains ITS1, 5.8S rRNA gene
Rfam family: 5.8S ribosomal RNA (bases 229-277)
Source: RNAcentral
UCUCCGUAGGUGAACCUGCGGAGGGAUCAUUACACAAUAUGAAAGCGGGCUGGACUCCCCCCAGCAGUGCGUUGCUUUGCGGCGUGCGCUGUUGGGGCCAGCCUUGCUGAAUUAUUCACCCGUGUCUUUUGCGUACUUCUUGUUUCCUUGGUGGGUUCGCCCACCACAAGGACAAACCAUAAACCUUUUGUAAUUGCAAUCAGCGUCAGUAACAAUAAUAAUAAUUACAACUUUCAACAACGGAUCUCUUGGUUCUGGCAUCGAUGAAGAACGCAGC